This 1500-nucleotide ribosomal RNA is filed under the name Triticum aestivum (bread wheat). RNAcentral's name for it is "partial small subunit ribosomal RNA". Lineage: Eukaryota; Viridiplantae; Streptophyta; Magnoliopsida; Poales; Poaceae. The record is from RNAcentral.
AUGUCCUCUAGAAAGCAUUUAUCUGGUAGUGCCAAAAGGAAGAGAAAGAAGGAAAAAGAUGAAGAGGUAAAAUCCCUAAAAGGAUCACUUAAGAAUUUUGUCAGACCUGCUAGUUCUUCUAGAGAUCCCCUGGAAUUGGCCAUACUAUGUGUUGAAGAACAACCAGCUGAAAAUACAAAUUCUAUUGAUGAUGAUAUGAAUGGCGGUAAUAGCAAUUCCAGUGAGCAAGAAAAUGUAACUCAUUCAUCAAAUUCUGAAUCACCGGGUGUUGAUAAACAACAACCAUUCACUGUUGAUAUUUUUGAUCCACGAAACUGGGAUAAUCUGGAUGAUAAGGCUAGAGAUAUUUUAGUUGAGAAGGGUCUCCUUUUCAAAUCCCAUAGCAACAAGAGUGCGUUAGCAGGUAAUGGAUUGAGUGAUUGGAAGCAUCUUAGCGAGAGGCUUAAAGAACAUGAAAAUGGUGUAGAGCAUAUUAAAACCAUGAACACUUGGAAUGAGUUAAAAGUUAGACCAGCCAAAAAUAAAACCAUUGAUAAGGAUUUGCAGCAGCAAAUCAAUAAGGAGAAAGAACGUUUGAGACAAGUGUUAGUGAGAUUAGUAGCCAUUGUUAAAUAUCUUGGUAAACGUAGCUUGGUUUUUCGUGGAUCUAGUGAGAAACUUUACCAACACAAUAAUGGUAAUUUUUUGGCAUGUGUAGAGAUGAUUGCUGAAUUUGAUCCAAUAAUGCAAGAACAUCUUAGACGAAUUCAAAAUGAUGAAAUUUAUCAUCACUAUCUCAGCCACAAAAUUCAGAAUGAGUUGAUUUCUCUAUUGGCCUCUAGUGUUACUAGUUCCAUCUUACAAAUUAUUAAAGAGGCUAAAUAUUUCUCCAUAACUCUUGAUUGUACUCCGGAUGUUAGCCAUCAAGAACAAAUGACCCUAAUUAUUCGAUGUGUUAACAUGUCAAAUAAGAAAAUAAAAAUAGAAGAAUUUUUUAUGGAAUUUUUGACAGUGGAUGACACUUCUGGUUUGGGUCUUUUUAAUGUACUUCUUGACGCAAUAGAUUCUUAUGGCUUAAAUAUUGAUAAUGUAAGGGGCCAAGGCUACGAUAAUGGUUCCAACAUGAAAGGAAAUAAACAAGGGAGCGACGCAAAUAAUUUAUUUGAUGCACUUGGUAGUUUUGAGUUUUUACUUGGCAUGGUUAUUUGGCAUGAUAUAUUAUUUGCUAUAAACAUGGUGAGUAAGAAGUUGCAGUCCGCAUCUAUGUUUGAUAUGGGCAUAGAACCAUCAUUUCCAAUAAAAUGUAAUGUUACUAGGAAGAAACAAUUUGAUGAACCUAAUAACGAUGAAGAAGUUCUAAAAGCUGAGAAGGCGUUCGAAGUUAAUUACUUCUUAGUUCUGGUUGAUAUUGCAAAUUUAUUGAAUGAUGUUGAACUACGCAAAUGUUGUGCUAAGUUCGUAGAAACAUUUUCACGAAAUGGUUCAUGCGAUGUUGAGUUAGAUGAUCUUUUUCCGAAUUAA